ACAUGCAAGUCGAACGGUAACAGGAAGCAGCUUGCUGCUUCGCUGACGAGUGGCGGACGGGUGAGUAAUGUCUGGGAAACUGCCUGAUGGAGGGGGAUAACUACUGGAAACGGUAGCUAAUACCGCAUAACGUCGCAAGACCAAAGAGGGGGACCUUCGGGCCUCUUGCCAUCGGAUGUGCCCAGAUGGGAUUAGCUAGUAGGUGGGGUAACGGCUCACCUAGGCGACGAUCCCUAGCUGGUCUGAGAGGAUGACCAGCCACACUGGAACUGAGACACGGUCCAGACUGCCUACGGGAGGCAGCAGUGGGGAAUAUUGCACAAUGGGCGCAAGCCUGAUGCAGCCAUGCCGCGUGUAUGAAGAAGGCCUUCGGGUUGUAAAGUACUUUCAGCGGGGAGGAAGGGAGUAAAGUUAAUACCUUUGCUCAUUGACGUUACCCGCAGAAGAAGCACCGGCUAACUCCGUGCCAGCAGCCGCGGUAAUACGGAGGGUGCAAGCGUUAAUCGGAAUUACUGGGCGUAAAGCGUCACGCAGGCGGUUUGUUAAGUCAGAUGUGAAAUCCCCG
This 565-nucleotide ribosomal RNA is filed under the name Escherichia coli. Its description in RNAcentral is "bacterial SSU rRNA". It matches the Rfam family "Bacterial small subunit ribosomal RNA", at positions 53 to 605 of the family's 1533-position model. The record is from RNAcentral. Lineage: Bacteria; Pseudomonadati; Pseudomonadota; Gammaproteobacteria; Enterobacterales; Enterobacteriaceae.